This is a long non-coding RNA of Budorcas taxicolor (takin), 681 nucleotides long. RefSeq lists it as uncharacterized. The record is from RefSeq and is a predicted model, not a curated record. The transcript has 4 exons. NCBI's taxonomy places the organism in Eukaryota, Metazoa, Chordata, Mammalia, Artiodactyla, Bovidae.
CUCGUUAAUCCGGUCACGUCUCUUUUUCUCGAUGAGCCGGUGCGGCAGUUUGUAGGUCUCCUGCAAAGCGCACGGAGAGAUGGUGGGCGCGGGAGGAAGGAGGAGCCCUGACUGGCAAGAACCCCCGGAUGCACCCAGAACUACUUGGAGUUGAAAGCCGCGCAGAAGGCAGGACUGGAGUUGAGGCUUGAAGGGGCCAGGGGUGCCAACUUACCCUGAUGACAAGUUCCAGGUCCCCCAGGGAAAGUGCAGGAGCGAGAGCCUGAACCGGCAUUCUGGACUCGACCGUGUGUGCCCACGUUACCCCUGACAGUCUGCUGGGCAGUCACCCAUCGAGAAGAACCACUGGCCACUGGACUAAACCCUCCCCUGUAUAUUUGUUCAGGAGCUCUCAGAGUUCUCAUUCCUCAGCUGUCCAGAGAGGUUGGUGACAAGCUUCAUGGUGGACUCCAGCUUCUCCUGCAGGUUCCUCAGCUCAUUCUGUUCUCCUUCCGAAUCGCUGCUGACCAGGGACAUGGCUCUCAUCCUCGGGAACCAGUCUAGGUUUCUUUCCUAGAACCCAGACGGAAAAAAGAGGGCGUCACUUCUACCAGCAAAGACCACAGAGGCACUCUUCCCAUGCCAUCCUGUCUUGGCAGCAUCGCUCGUCGGGCUGUCUCUGCCUGCUACAGAACUCAUGUA